RNAcentral lists this ribosomal RNA (513 nucleotides) under uncultured Oscillospiraceae bacterium. RNAcentral's name for it is "bacterial SSU rRNA". It matches the Rfam family "Bacterial small subunit ribosomal RNA", at positions 1 to 507 of the family's 1533-position model. Lineage: Bacteria; Bacillati; Bacillota; Clostridia; Eubacteriales; Oscillospiraceae. The record is from RNAcentral.
UAGUAGGUUUUGAUCCUCGGCUCGAGACGACGCUGGCGGCGUGCCUAACGCAUGCAAGUUACGAACGGAACUUAAGUUUGAAGGAAUUCUUCGGAAGGACAUUGGUUAAGUUUUAGUUGGCGGACGGGUGAGUAACGCGUGAGUAACCUGCCUCCGAGAGGGGAAUAACAAUCUGAAAAGAUUGCUAAUACCGCAUAACAUAGCGAAGUCGCAUGGCAGCGCUAUCAAAGAUUUAUCGCUCGGAGAUGGACUCGCGUCCGACUUAGUUAGUUGGUGAGGUAACGGCUCACCAAGACCGCGAUCGGUAGCCGGACUGAGAGGUUGAACGGCCACAUUGGGACUGAGACACGGCCCAGACUCCUACGGGAGGCAGCAGUGGGGGAUAUUGCGCAAUGGGGGAAACCCUGACGCAGCAACGCCGCGUGAAGGAUGAAGGUUUUCGGAUUGUAAACUUCUUUUAUUAAGGACGAAAAAAUGACGGUACUUAAUGAAUAAGCUCCGGCUAACCACGUG